Molecule: long non-coding RNA, 986 nt
Organism: Ananas comosus (pineapple)
Lineage: Eukaryota; Viridiplantae; Streptophyta; Magnoliopsida; Poales; Bromeliaceae
Exons: 3
Source: RefSeq, a predicted model, not a curated record
UUAAGGUGUAGGAUUUCUCAAUUGAGAAUCAGAGUCAUUGUUCUUGAUCUAGACAUCUUACAAUAGUUGCUAACAAAUUGUUUAAUUAGUUUGAAUCACCUUUAAUUCUUGAAUGAAAAACAUCUCAUAUCAUCCAUUAAAACUGUUAAUUUUGGUGCUAUUUGACGCAGACGUAAGAAUCUUUUAAGAAACACGAAUUAUUACUUGUAGUAAUUACAAUUAAUCUAAAUCAUUCAUUAUGAGUUGUAAAUUAAAGGUUUUUGUAGUGCUUUUGACUUGAGCCGAUUUGGACUAAUUUCUGGGAAGUGUAGGCUAAUCUUAGUGAUUUGCAAUAUGAUCUAAUCCUAACAAUUCUCGUAUAUUCUGACCAGACUUGGAGAUUUCGACCUUUCCCUAGAAGAGGUGCAGCUCGAGGGGCUAUUUAUUUUACCGAAUGUGAAGAUUAGAUUGAAGUAGACUUUCAAAUGAAGUAGAGUUUAGGUGAAUAUUACUUUCCUUCAGCUAUUUUCCAUAUAGCUAUGGAACUGAAGUUCCCUGUGCUAUUCGUUUAGGAGCAAGUGAAUGGUGAGAGAUGAUUUAAUAUUUUAUUAUUUUUUUCUCACUUAUUUUUUUUUCCCCAUAAUUGACUUCGGCCUGGGGUGAGUUGAAGUCAAUUACGCUACUUUGGGGUGUUUGAGUUUUGACUGAAAGUGAAGUUUUGGUAGACCAAACAACGAAAGUGAGCAUUUACGGCUGAAAACCACUUAAUCGCUCUCCACUUUUGGUGAAGCAAACACAUCCUAGGGGAAGUGAAAAUGAUUCUCCGAGUGGGCUAAGACAGUUAAAAGCUCAAAAAUAUUAUGAUGCUUUUGUCGCGUCGCACGAAUGUCAUGAGACCCCCAAUGUUCGACGGACGCCUUCGCCUUCGCCUGCUCCGAUGCCGCAAAGCCUUCAUACCAGAAAAGAAAAAAGGAAAGGAAAAAGAAAAAGGUAAACAGUAACUAUCA